Non-coding RNA from Triticum urartu, 2496 nucleotides. The record is from RefSeq and is a predicted model, not a curated record. NCBI's taxonomy places the organism in Eukaryota, Viridiplantae, Streptophyta, Magnoliopsida, Poales, Poaceae.
UGCCUCAGCUUUUUUUGGCUUGCACUGUUUGAAUCGGCGGAAGAGAGAGGUGGGCAGAGACGGGGACGAGUAGGUCGAAGAGGAUGGCCUCCGAUGUGGCCGCCGACGAGCCUCCCGCCAUCGGCAAGAUCCACGAGGUCUGCGCGGCCUACGAGCUGCCCGCCAUCGGCACCGUUCAGGAGCUCUACGCAGGGUCCCUGAUCUCUGCGCCGCCGACGCGCUGCACGAGCGAGCAACUCAAGGACCUGAGGAGGAAAUGAGUUGGGGUAAAACAUCGGCACAAAACUCGCUCCAUUGUUUUGCAUUCCAAAGAGACUGGGGUCAAACAAUGCUCCAGGAUAUUGGGAUUGUCCAGGCUGCGAAUAUAAAUACAUUACCAACCGCCAAAUUCUUUGUCCCAUCAAGAAAGAAGCAAGCAAAAGCAUGCUGAUUUUCGGAUGGGGUUCAGAAGAAGCAAAUCACACAGAAGGAUCUUGAGAGGAAGAUUCAGAAAACUCACCCUGGUGUAUGACAGGAACAAUAACUAGCAUGAACCUGGAGGAGUAAGAAGCAGCGACAUCUGGGUUUGCAAUGGCCAAAGAACUCAACAAUUCAUAGUUGGGUCACUUAUUUCUCCCCAGCUCGGUGACUUGGUCAACUGCGCACUUCAGAAGAAUAAGUACUUCUGAAUGUUAAAGCCAAUGUGGGCUAGCAAACUGUAGAGAUAAUUGAUUUGUUUCCAUGUCUACCUUACAGUAUUCAGACUUGGGAGAGAAGGUGCCUCAUGGUAGAAGCUUGACAUAGGUGUGGCCUUGAAUGCCAAGAUUUUUAUGAGUAGCCUCAGCCUUCUGUUCUCCCUACAGAUUCAGGAUUCAAAAGAUCAAUGGGAGUUUGUUUCACACAGUACAAGAGCAAUGUACUGAUGCAUUUUAACUGUCGUUGUGUGUUUUAACAGAAGAAUACUUUCUGAUGUUUUAGUGACCAAGUGUUACUGAUCUUGAGGUGUGUUAUUGAUCUCUGUUUCUAUAUAGAUGGUGCUUUUUUGUACUUUCUGAAGAACAAUUCCAUGCAAGACACCAUCAAAAAGCCUGCUACUGCAGAUGCUUCCUCGCCGAAUCACAGCUUGAUGGAGCUUGCUGCACCUCUGGAACAAGCAGCCGCUUACAAAGAGAAGCUUGAAGGCUCAAACAGAUGUACAUAACGAAAUUCAGAGUUCCAACAGUGCAUAUGUGCAAGAGCGUAGUUCACUUGGAAUUUGCUCGUGGUGGAGACGUUCCACCCACAAAAAAAAAGGUGAAGACGUCCUGAAACUUCAUGAGGCAUGGGCGAUACAGAUAGGGCGGAGUCGAAACCAUGUGCAAGAUAGAGACACUAUCAAUCAUCGGUGAAUCCGGUCCAGGAACUCAAAUGUUGGCGUCCAUGGCGCAAGGAGGUGCUUUUCGGAGCAAGCAACCUAGCAAGUGCAUCAGUGAUCAUUGUCAAUUUGGCUAGAAGGGUGAUCGAGAGGGCUACAAACAGGGUGACGUCGCCGAUGAAGAGAGUUGUAGAUCGGAAAAUCAAACCUGGAACCACACGAACGAAGACGUACACAAACUGGAUCCAAAUAGAUCCACCCAAGACCAGCACCGACCGAAUCCCAUGAGAUCCGACGGAGACACACCUCACACAUCCUCCAACAAUGCUAUUUGCACCAUCGGGGCGGGAAUAGGACGUGGGAGACAUUAUUGCCACCGAGGGACAUCGCCACGGCCACAUAGCCCCAACCAAGACGUUCAACCUAGCAAAAACGAGAACGGAGUCCCUCCCGCCGGCGGGGGGCUGAGAUCCUCCGCACCUCCACAGCCCAAAGGCCAUCGGAGGCGGGGUGGAUCGGAGGCCGCGCCGACGGGAGGAGGAAGGAGACUUUUCUUGGGGAGGAGGAUAGAGUUUGUUUUUAUUAGUUUUUAUUAUCUAAAACUCCCGAACCUUGUUUCCACUGAGUGAAUCCACUCAUAUGUAGGAUAUUGUUUGUUGCUUAGCCUCUCUGAUAGUAUUACCAUUGACGACUUUUCCGGUCGCGAACGUGGCGGAGAAAAUUAUGGCAGGAAGGCGGCGGCGUUCGAGGCGGCGGACAUGGGCCGUGGUGGAGGCGGAGAACGGCGUGACGGCGGUGGAGGCGGACGACGCGACGACGGGCCAAUCAAGCGGCGGACGAAUGGAAGGAGCCUCAGGCGGGUCGGAGUGAUGGAGGGUCGAGGCGUAGGAUGGCGUGGAAGGGGAGAGGACAGGAACCGAUCGAGAGAAAAGAAACGGUGGAAAUGAAAAUAGACCGGGGACGAUUAGGCGGGCAUGGAAGGGUAACUGUCUGUGCAGAUCAGUAGAGGGCGACCACGGCCGCCUGCCACUGGGAACUUUUUCAGAUUGAUUUAUUUGGCGCGGCUUGUCAAAAUGUAGUUGUGGCGGGCGCAACGCAACGCACCCCACUGAUUUAUGAUGAAGUAAUGGGCGGGCACUCUUACUGCCAGCCACUAUACUUUC